UACAGAGGGGGCGAGCGUUGUUCGGAAUUACUGGGCGUAAAGGGCUCGUAGGCGGCCAACUAAGUCAGACGUGAAAUCCCUCAGCUUAACUGGGGAACUGCGUCUGAUACUGGAUGGCUUGGAUUCGGGAGAGGAAUGCGGAAUUCCAGGUGUAGCGGUGAAAUGCGUAGAUAUCUGGAGGAACACCGGUGGCGAAGGCGGCAUUCUGGACCGACAUUGACGCUGAGGAGCGAAAGCCAGGGGAGCAAACGGG
This 253-nucleotide ribosomal RNA is filed under the name uncultured bacterium. Its description in RNAcentral is "partial 16S ribosomal RNA". It matches the Rfam family "Bacterial small subunit ribosomal RNA", at positions 524 to 776 of the family's 1533-position model. The record is from RNAcentral.